UGGGGAAUAUUGCACAAUGGGCGCAAGCCUGAUGCAGCCAUGCCGCGUGUGUGAAGAAGGCCUUCGGGCUGUAAAGCACUCUCAGCGGGGAGGAAGGCGAUAAGGCUAAUAACCUUGUCGAUUGACGUCACCCGCAGAAGAAGCACCGGCCAACUCCGUGCCAGCAGCCGCGGUAAUACGGAGGGUGCAAGCGUUAAUCGGAAUUACUGGGCGUAAAGCGUACGCAGGCGGUCUGUCAAGUCGGAUGUGAAAUCCCCGGGCUUAACCUGGGAACUGCAUGCGAGACUGGCAGGCUAGAGUCUUGUAGAGGGGGGUAGAAUUCCAGGUGUAGCGGUGAAAUGCGUAGAGAUCUGGAGGAAUACCGGUGGAGAAGGCGGCCCCCUGGACAAAGACUGACGCUCAGGUGCGAAAGCGUGGGGAGCAAACUGU
Molecule: ribosomal RNA, 429 nt
Filed under: Chloroflexota bacterium
Lineage: Bacteria; Bacillati; Chloroflexota
Description: Chloroflexi bacterium partial 16S ribosomal RNA
Rfam family: Bacterial small subunit ribosomal RNA
Source: RNAcentral